Acanthopagrus latus (yellowfin seabream) is the source of this 2128-nucleotide RNA transcript. It is a transcript of the gene named arginine/serine-rich protein 1, with no coding region annotated. The record is from RefSeq and is a predicted model, not a curated record. NCBI's taxonomy places the organism in Eukaryota, Metazoa, Chordata, Actinopteri, Spariformes, Sparidae. The transcript has 5 exons.
CCACCAUUUACGGAUUCGUUGGAGUGACGACGGCUGAACGCUCAACUUCGAGAAAGAAGCUCCUGCAGUUUCGUAAAGAUUUUACUUCAAACCAAGAAAUUAGAGUGUUUUUGGUUACUAUUUCUAAACUAUCAUUUCGAAAUAACGUUUUUCGACCAGACUCUACAUCGUUUUCAUCGACGUUAUCAGAACAAAGGUUUCAAGCUACAAUUGAGCUGCUUUUAGCAGAAAACAAGGCAAUGGCCAAGGUGAAGGAUUCACACUCUGAAAUGGCCAAAGCCCGCCAGAGUGAUGGCAUCAACGUAAUCUUUGAUAAGGAGAGCUCUUCCUCAUCCCGGUCCCACUCCCGUUCUAGAAGCCCCGGUGUAAACAGCCGGUCCUCUGGUUCCAGUCGCCACCGAGGACGUGGCAGCUACAGGAGACGUUACAGGUCUUCAUCAUCUUCCUGCAGCAGGUCCUCCUCUCGCUCAAGGUCCCGCUCUCACCCCCGAUGCCACAGGCGGUCCUCCCGCUGUCGCUGUGACAACCAUCCCAGAUAUGGCCGUGGCCGCUACAGAGCCCACUCCCGCUCUUUGAGCCGGUCAGCCUCGCCAGACCGAUACUCACGUCGCAGACAGUACAGGUCACGCUCCAGGUCCUCCAGUCGCCAAACCAGGCACAGGAGAGAUGUGAGCCGUUUAAGAUACAGGUCGUCCCGUUCCUCAUCCAGAGCCAACAGGAGCCGCUCGAAGUCCAGAGCAUCGACACACUCUGUCAGUUUGAGUUUAGAUGAUAAGAUGGAAUUCCUCAACGCUGUGAAGAUCCAAGGAGCAGAGAAGCUGGGACUCCUGGAGAGUGUGAAACCGAUCCUGUCAGAGCAGUCAGUGGAGUCCAGACAGAGGUCACCAGAUACAUGGGUGAGACAUGACCCUGAUGAAAGGACUCCAUCAAAGGUGGGUGUUUGGGAGUGGCUUUCAGCUUCACACUGGACACAAUGCACACUUAAGAUAAGACUUUGACAGGAAUUCAAAAUACAGGCCAUUUAUCUUGGACUAGAUGUGAAGACAAGCCAAGAGGUGUUGCGCAUGUUAGGGAUGGCUAAAAUAGUUUCCAUAGCACCUUUACAUAGUUAUGCACAGAUUAUAUAUUCUUUUUCAACACAUGGGUAAUGGUAUUUUACAUCUUUUGCUGUACAGGAAGAACAUUAUUUUAUAUACAAUUUGAUCCCAGUUGUGACACUAUUUUAUUUUAAGUGUCAACAUAUACACUAUAUCAAGCAAUGUCUAUUUUUGUGCCUGAGGUCUGUGUUGUGUUGAAUCUCCUGUCUUGUGUUAACCUUUGGAUCCCUGAGGGAAGACACAUACUCUCUGUAUUUAUUCCUGUCUUCAUAGAUAACAUGACAGUGGUCUUCUUCACUCAUCGGCACCUGGGAUUAAAGGGCUGUCAUGUGACUUGGGUGACGACAAUAUGUUUGAAAUGGGUCGUUGUUAUUUAGCAGAGUCUGCCACUCGCUGAUGGAGCGCAGGCGUGUGGACUGCGUUGUAGUGACUAUUCCUGUCGAGAGCUAAAAACAGAUGAAGAACUCCUCUCCUUUUGCCAAAGAUAAGUUGGUACACGGGCGGUGUGCUGAGGGGCUGGGAAACCUACGUCACCAUCAUUCUGCCACUUUAGACAGAGAAGACAUCCUUUUUACUUCAUUUUGUUGGCUUUAGUUUUUUUUUUUAAAUCUCUUUCAAGGUCUGUUCUUGAAGCACUCAUAUAAGGGAGCCUAGCCUUUGACAGUAGUGUGUGGGGAGGAGGGGGGGUGUGCUGCAGUUUGUUGAAGCUUAUACUUUUAACAUUUACUCAUGCAGUAGAAGUACUCUAUUUACUGAUUUAUAUAUAUUAGCAAUGGAAGCUAUAUACCAUCUAUGAACUUCACAAACUGUCAAAGCUCACCUUUUAUGAAAAGUGUGAUGAACAUCUCUAACUGUCUGAUAUUGUUGUCUUUUUGAAACAGAGCGAUGAGGUGGAGCCUGAUGAUAUGCCCAGCCCAACGAUGUCACCAACAAGAAAAAUAAUUUCUUUCAGCAUCAAUAAUUCUGUGGCCAAACCAACGGUAGCUGCUCCAUCUUCUGCUAAGGUAACACCAAGAGUGGACAUCUAUGAA